GUAUUGUAUUGCGUUAAACGCGACAUACAUUCCAUGAGACUUCGUUACGGUGUGUGUGUAAAGACGUAGGACCACGGCAAGGGGACAGAGUCCCCAAGGCCACAGAACUACAGAGGGUGCACAGGUGUGAGUGGAUGUGCAAACAGAGCGUGCACGUGCCCCUUUUGGGGGGCCAGCGACAACUCGUGUCGACGGUUCGAUAAUGAUCCUUCCGCAGGUUCACCUACGGAAA
This 232-nucleotide unclassified non-coding RNA is filed under the name uncultured fungus. RNAcentral describes it as "sequence contains ITS1". Lineage: Eukaryota; Fungi. The record is from RNAcentral.